GGUAUCAUGGCCGAGUGGUCUAAGGCGCCAGAUUUAAGUCCUGGUGACGGUUUCGUCGCGUGGGUUCGAACCCCACUGAUACCA
RNAcentral lists this transfer RNA (84 nucleotides) under Schizophyllum commune H4-8. Its description in RNAcentral is "tRNA-Leu (TAA) (tRNA-Leu-TAA-1-1)". It matches the Rfam family "tRNA". Rfam says of the family: Transfer RNA (tRNA) molecules are approximately 80 nucleotides in length. Their secondary structure includes four short double-helical elements and three loops (D, anti-codon, and T loops). Lineage: Eukaryota; Fungi; Basidiomycota; Agaricomycetes; Agaricales; Schizophyllaceae. The record is from RNAcentral.